UACGUAGGGGGCAAGCGUUGUCCGGAUUUAUUGGGCGUAAAGAGCUCGUAGGUGGUUCGGUAAGUCGGAUGUGAAAUCUCCAGGCUCAACCUGGAGGGGUCAUUCGAUACUGCCGUGACUAGAGUUCGGUAGGGGAGUGUGGAAUUCCUGGUGGAGCGGUGGAAUGCGUAGAGAUCCGGAAGAACACCGGUGGCGAAGGCGGUUAGCUGGGCAGUUGCUGACACUGAGGCGCGACAGCGUGGGGAGCAAACAGG
Molecule: ribosomal RNA, 254 nt
Filed under: uncultured bacterium
Lineage: Bacteria
Description: partial 16S ribosomal RNA
Rfam family: Bacterial small subunit ribosomal RNA
Source: RNAcentral